RNAcentral lists this ribosomal RNA (253 nucleotides) under uncultured bacterium. RNAcentral describes it as "partial 16S ribosomal RNA". It matches the Rfam family "Bacterial small subunit ribosomal RNA", at positions 524 to 776 of the family's 1533-position model. The record is from RNAcentral.
UACGGGGGGGGCAAGCGUUGUUCGGAAUUACUGGGCGUAAAGGGCUCGUAGGCGGCCAACUAAGUCAGACGUGAAAUCCCUCGGCUUAACCGGGGAACUGCGUCUGAUACUGGAUGGCUUGAGUUUGGGAGAGGGAUGCGGAAUUCCAGGUGUAGCGGUGAAAUUCGUAGAUAUCGGGAGGAACACCAGUGGCGAAGGCGGCCACCUGGACGGAUACUGACGCUGAGACGCGAAAGCGUGGGGAGCAAACAGG